Ornithodoros turicata is the source of this 1034-nucleotide long non-coding RNA. RefSeq lists it as uncharacterized. The record is from RefSeq and is a predicted model, not a curated record. The transcript is spliced from 3 exons. NCBI's taxonomy places the organism in Eukaryota, Metazoa, Arthropoda, Arachnida, Ixodida, Argasidae.
UUGCAGGUCCAGCAUGGAUGCAAUGGCCUUCUGUGAUGCCGAGACAUUGCUGUGUUCCCUGUUGCUGCUUGUUGCUGCCUGUAGCAAGAUUGUGGUGGGUUAGAAUCCUACCAGCGGCUCGUGAGGGCACUUGGCAGUGGUGUUGCUCGUCGCUGGUUGGCCUGGGCAUUCGUGUUCGUCCAUGCACGUACCAGCAGACAUAUGUCGGCACAGUUCCCCUAGAAGUCGGCCCAGGACGCACAUUUCCCUAGGGUGUCAGUCGUGACGUUGCCCACAUACGUGAGGCCGACAACGGCAAGCCCUUUCACCAUCACCACCACCACCACCACCAGCAGACAUUGAAACUGUGUCCUAAGGCAGAAGUCACCUUACGCUCCAGGCCGAUGCUAUGAAACUUGCUGCGAAAAGUUGCGAUGCUGUAUCGCAGAGUGCUGCAACGAUGGACCGGACGGUGAAGGUGGGCGGAACAUGAGGAUCCAGCGCGAACUUCUGAACGAACAUCUCAAUGAACGUGAUGUAUCUAGUAGUGCUUUUUUACGGUUGGGAGAUACUUCCCCUUUUUCUUCCCAUAAAGGGACCAGUGCAACAAACGCGAACGCCUUCGAAAUAUUAGACACAUGACUGCGCACAGAUCGGGACUGGUUAAUAGUCCUGAGGCGAGUUCGACGUGAUUGUCUACUUUCGAUUCACAUCUUCGUUGGUUGGUUGGUUGGCUGGUUGGGUAUUCCUUUGUUUGUCGCUUUUUGGUUCUUUUGUGACGGUCCUUGAUUCUCCUUUGGUUAUCUCGUUCGCCCUCAUCUUUUCUCCUCCAUUUUUGGUGUUUGUAGUCCGUUAGGAGGUUGGUGGCUUGUAUAGUGCAUCGAAUGGUAUCUGGUAUAGCACGAUCGAUUAAACAAUGCGCUUUCCAUGCGUGCGUUGCUUUGUUCACCCGAUGAAGCUAUUGUUUCGUCGGAGCUUAACACAACGCAAACAACACAAACCCAGUCACACACUCUCAUUUCCUGUAUCUGUUUUGAAGUUCGUAAUUUAGUGUU